This 1086-nucleotide ribosomal RNA is filed under the name Bacillus velezensis. RNAcentral describes it as "bacterial SSU rRNA". It matches the Rfam family "Bacterial small subunit ribosomal RNA", at positions 42 to 1109 of the family's 1533-position model. Lineage: Bacteria; Bacillati; Bacillota; Bacilli; Caryophanales; Bacillaceae. The record is from RNAcentral.
GGGUGCUAUAAUGCAGUCGAGCGGACAGAUGGGAGCUUGCUCCCUGAUGUUAGCGGCGGACGGGUGAGUAACACGUGGGUAACCUGCCUGUAAGACUGGGAUAACUCCGGGAAACCGGGGCUAAUACCGGAUGCUUGUUUGAACCGCAUGGUUCAGACAUAAAAGGUGGCUUCGGCUACCACUUACAGAUGGACCCGCGGCGCAUUAGCUAGUUGGUGAGGUAACGGCUCACCAAGGCAACGAUGCGUAGCCGACCUGAGAGGGUGAUCGGCCACACUGGGACUGAGACACGGCCCAGACUCCUACGGGAGGCAGCAGUAGGGAAUCUUCCGCAAUGGACGAAAGUCUGACGGAGCAACGCCGCGUGAGUGAUGAAGGUUUUCGGAUCGUAAAGCUCUGUUGUUAGGGAAGAACAAGUGCCGUUCAAAUAGGGCGGCACCUUGACGGUACCUAACCAGAAAGCCACGGCUAACUACGUGCCAGCAGCCGCGGUAAUACGUAGGUGGCAAGCGUUGUCCGGAAUUAUUGGGCGUAAAGGGCUCGCAGGCGGUUUCUUAAGUCUGAUGUGAAAGCCCCCGGCUCAACCGGGGAGGGUCAUUGGAAACUGGGGAACUUGAGUGCAGAAGAGGAGAGUGGAAUUCCACGUGUAGCGGUGAAAUGCGUAGAGAUGUGGAGGAACACCAGUGGCGAAGGCGACUCUCUGGUCUGUAACUGACGCUGAGGAGCGAAAGCGUGGGGAGCGAACAGGAUUAGAUACCCUGGUAGUCCACGCCGUAAACGAUGAGUGCUAAGUGUUAGGGGGUUUCCGCCCCUUAGUGCUGCAGCUAACGCAUUAAGCACUCCGCCUGGGGAGUACGGUCGCAAGACUGAAACUCAAAGGAAUUUGACGGGGGGCCCGCACAAGCGGUGGAGCAUGUGGUUUAAUUUCGAAGCAACGCGAAGAAUCUUUACCAGGUCUUGACAUCCUCUGACAAUCCUAGAGAUAGGACGUCCCCUUCGGGGGCAGAGUGACAGGUGGUGCAUGGCUUGUCGUCAGCUCGUGUCGUGAGAUGUUGGGUUUAGUCCCGCACGAGCGCAACCCUUUGA